Molecule: long non-coding RNA, 282 nt
Filed under: Equus caballus (horse)
Lineage: Eukaryota; Metazoa; Chordata; Mammalia; Perissodactyla; Equidae
Description: lncRNA (ENSECAG00000053480.1)
Source: RNAcentral
AUGAAAAGGACCUUUAUUUAAGGUAUAAGAACGGAGACAAGAAGGCGGAGCGUGGCCUUGUCGUCCUCGGCUGGGAAGAUGCAUGUUGGGCAACUCAACUUUUUCGCCACUCUCUUACUCAUUAAUAUUCCCUGUGCUCAGGGAACAAGGGACAGGGGACAAGGCCUGGCACAGAUUGGCACCUUGCGAAUGGCUGACCUGGAAAAAUUGGGACCAGGAGCGAAUCGAGCUUCCCACCCCAAACUUCUCCCAACACCACGUAGAAGGAAAUGGACACGUGAA